CGGAUGGUUUUUCUUGUUGGGUAAAUAUAGAAAUGCUUACGUUAUAAAAAAAAUCGCAGGGUUCCCGAAUUUCCCGAUAAGAACCAACACCAACCCCACUCCCCCGCCCCCCGCUGAGCGAUGCCGUCUUGAUCGCCCCCUCCCGACCCCGGGAAAAGGGACACUACCUCUCUAUCUCAGUUGAAGAAACGAUGAUGAAACGUUAACAACGACAAGAACGGCAUUUCCUGAGUUGUCUUGUGGCCUCCGAGAUUUGCGCGCGAACCUGGGAGGCCAUAAUUGGCCGCUUAAUAGCAUAAAAAGACAAAGAUAAUGCCAAACGACGCAGUUAAAAAUUCAAAGAACUGAUCUUAGCUAUACUGUUUGGGGAAAAGGAAUAAAAAAUUAGACAGCCGCAACACACGCCACUAAAGCCGCCACCGCCGGCAUAACGCGGAACCGACAGUUGGCAACGUUCAUUCGCGCGUCAUUGCUUCGUCCGCUUCGUCUCCGCAACGAGAGCCGCCAUCUUCUCGCGCCUAACGUUUCGUAUGGUUUUGUUCUCUGCAAUCCGCGCACAUAGCUCAUCGGUGGAUGCACGUCUGCUCGGCGUCGUAAUGCGGCCUGCGUCAUUUUCUGGUGUUCGCGCAAUCGGUGUGAAACAUGUCGCAUGUGAAAUGUUUGAUAGAAGUGCCUCACGUCCAAGUCAAGCCGCCGUACGGGUGUAUGGCUGUGCGCCCCGUUCUCGGAAGCGUCGACGGGUUUCCGGCAUGCGGAUUUCAGCGUUUGGACUCGACUUUUGGUGAGGAUGUCGAUCGACCUUGGGCCUGGUGACAGCACACCCGACAUCGCCAAAGUACAGCCUAUCAGUUGAGUGCCCCCGAAUGGACCAUCAACAUCAGAAAAUGAAGCAGAGCCAGUGCAGGGGGAAAAGGUUCCGGUAACACCAUGCAUUCAGUAUGAUGGCCCAGAUGUGUAUGCAAGCAACCUCCUUCAUGUGGACCAAGAACUACUCUGCAGUGUCUCGCAGACUUCCAUGCGAAGCCCUCAACAUUCUCGUCUCAGUGGAAUGGCUGCUCAUCUAUCUGCGUGUCCAUCACCAAGACGGCCAGUUGUAAAGCUCCUGUACCCGUUUAAGAAAGCUUAAUGAUUUUUUUAUUUAGUUUUCACGGUUGGCCGUAGAAUCUUAACAUUUUUGAUGUUUCCAACAUUUUUACCUGGCACAAAGUGGUGCAAUAACUUUAAACCAGUGUAAUGUAUUUAAGUGAUUCUCACUCUAAUGCCUAUCUGGUUUUGUUUAUGUUCAGAAAUUUGAAUGUCUGAUGAGGUAACAGCAUUUGAAUUUGUCAUCGUGGCUCUUUUCAAUGAGCUGCUAGGAAAUAAGACGCAAAACUUAUCACACGCCAGUUGUAGCAUUUUUGUUUUCAUGACUGAAGUAUACUAGUUUCAAAAGAUGGAAAGUGGGGAAAAAAGCCUCAAGAACAUAAUCAUCCUAGGAUUGUCAUGUCCUUACAACUCUGCAAUGACUAAUGCCUCAUGCAUCUUGGGAGCACAUUGGUCGCAGUGCCUACAGGUAUACUUGAUAAUAGAAUAGCUUGCACUCAGAUUUGCCAUGCAGUUGAUGGCUGAUGACUUUUGUUUGUCCUCUUCAUGUUACUACUAUGUAUUCAAUAUUCAUUUAGAUGUGCUGCGGUUUCUUGCAGUCACCUAUAUAUAUAUAUAUAUAUAUAUAUAUAUAUAUAUAUAUAUAUAUAUAUAUAUAUAUAUAUGUUCUUCGUUGCAAUAAAUGUUUAGCUGAGAGUUAGCGCUCAUCCUGUCUGCUUCUAGUCUGUGUCCGUGUCACUUCGCGCUACAGUCCAAGAUAAUGUUACUGUAACAACUCGCCCAACUUUAUAUCCUUGUGUUAAAGACACACUCAGACUUGUUCUUACUUAUGUGACCGGUUAUUUUUGUGCUUUAUAAUAAGAUGCAGUGCUUUUCGAACGAAAACAUGUGAUAGUUCGUAGUGAGGUUAUUUAAAAAAACUGUUCUGCUUAAAAUUUAAUUGAGCAAGCCUGUGCCAUUAUUCGGUGCUUAUGUCUUUGUAUUGGUAUGGUUUUAGUCCUUAUCUUCCUUUUUUACUUUUAAAAUGUGCAAAUAUGAUGUAACCAUUUCUCUUUAAUGAAAUAAAUACUUCUGACAUUUUGUCACAAAUUUUACAA
RNAcentral lists this long non-coding RNA (2180 nucleotides) under Dermacentor andersoni. RNAcentral describes it as "uncharacterized LOC126517815". The record is from RNAcentral. Lineage: Eukaryota; Metazoa; Arthropoda; Arachnida; Ixodida; Ixodidae.